This 1059-nucleotide long non-coding RNA is filed under the name Olea europaea subsp. europaea. Lineage: Eukaryota; Viridiplantae; Streptophyta; Magnoliopsida; Lamiales; Oleaceae. The record is from RNAcentral.
CACUACGCAAUUGCAUGCACUGUAUUACUAGCUAAAUGACAUGCAAUGAAGAGAUCAAUAAACCAUGUGUACAAACAAUGAAAAUAACAACUUGAACCUUUUUUUUUUUUUUUGGAAUUAAGGAAAUCCAAAUAUUACAAAUUCGUACUUUCGAUACAUGUGAAAUAGCAAAGCAAAGGGUCAAACACUAUUUAAAAACCUAAGCACUUGAAAUAAGUGUGGUAAAAGUGGAAUUUAAUGAAGUUAAAGGGAUCCAAUCAAGUGGGAUUUAAAACAUAUUAGGAUAACAACAACACAUAAGAAAUAAUUGUUACACUUUUAAUUGAAAUAGGAGUAUACACAAAGAUAGAUAAAAAUAGUGACUCCCCGUAGCCCAAUUGGCCUGAUUUGCUGAAGUAAUGGCCUUUGAUGUAUGAAGUACACGUACAAUCCACUCUCUAAAAUAAGCCCCGAUGACUUGUUAUCCCUUAUUGUUCUGUUAACUCCACUAUAAGAAAAAUGGGUAGUUGCUACAGAUGAAGAAGCACUACCAGGGGCAAUGGUUGUAACCAUAGAGAAAAGAAACAACUCCAAUUGCUAGUUUUGAAGCAGGUGCACUAGAAACUGAUGUGCUAAAGAUGACGCAGAGUUGGAAGAUAUAGGAAAUGAAAUACUGGCCUUGAAGUAGAGCCAGAGUCAGAGCCCGUAGUAAAUGCCGUGAAGAACGAAAUUCCAAGGGCAAAAGCAAUAGAGGUUGAAGAAUGGGGAAAUGAAAUUGCAAGUGCAGAAGAAGUUAGGUUUCAUGUAUUGGUAGGAACGACGACUAAUUGAGGCAGCUGCAACUGGAAGGUAGUAGAAUAGAUACAACGAGGACUAGUAGGCAGCUAAAUGAUUGGCGGUGGGUGUUGUAGCAAUGACAGAAGCAAAUGGAAUAGCAGCAGACAGUGAGUGUUUUCGUCCAACCAUAAGCAAAGGAGGUGGGUUUUGGAUGGAAAACGUUUGGACUGCUAGUAAUGAAUGUUGGGAAUAAAAGUUAGGAGAAAUCGAAUUUUUGGAUAUGGACGUUUGGGAGUGGCCAGU